UGGGGUCGCAGCGGCAGAAUGAGAUAUCGGUGGUGAUAUUACUGAAGCUUUGCGAGAACAGUGGGGUCCACCGUAACAUGGUGGUCUGCAACGACGCCAAUCGCGCCAAGCAAAAGGCGGAGACAUUGACAAAGCUUUUACGGCAACCGAGGUCCGGCAACGGCGCUGCACGACCGUCAGACGUGUCAUUAUAACUCGCUCCACGUCACCACCGUGGGCCCACCACCUAGCUACGUUCCCAGAUAUAGCAAUGGCCAUGUAAUCAAACACUGAAAGAGUAAAAAACAAACAAAAAAAAAGGAAGAAAAAUCUAAAACUUGUAAGUAUCUAUGUUAGGAGAGGAUUGUAAAACUUGUGAUAAAGGUGUUGAAUUGAGCUGAGUUUGGUUAGCCUUUUUGGAGCUUAAAAAAAAAUAUUCUUACAAGCACAGAGGAAAGUUAGUGUGAUGGCCUGGAUCUCAGGUGCAGUACUUGUAGAACAUGCAUUUCUCAGUUGGUUGCUGAUGAUUAAGCUCGUUGGGGGAGUAUAGGGUGUCUUGAGAGAUUCCUUCAAAGUUCAUCCUUGCCGUCUCCGCCACAACGGAUACACUUGAAAAUUGGGAGGAUCGACGAGAGGCUGGGGUCGUCUAAGCUUGUGCGACUCGGUUGAGUUGCUGAACACGUUGAAGAUCCUCCACUACAUCUGCACGUUCGCCCUCUCUGCCCAUCUUCCACCACAGCGCCUGGCCUCCAUCGAGCUUGUCACCAUGACCACCAUGAUAGCAAAGAACUUCAACGACCGUCGUCAAACAACUAGCCAAUCGUGAAGCUCGAAGCACCAUCUUCUCGGCCUCCUUGCUCCGCUCCCUGCAAAUCCCUCAGCCAAGCAUCCUAAUUU
This 876-nucleotide long non-coding RNA is filed under the name Malus domestica (apple). RNAcentral describes it as "long non-coding RNA (MDOM_LNC008126)". The record is from RNAcentral. Lineage: Eukaryota; Viridiplantae; Streptophyta; Magnoliopsida; Rosales; Rosaceae.